This 1060-nucleotide ribosomal RNA is filed under the name uncultured Cellulomonas sp. RNAcentral's name for it is "bacterial SSU rRNA". It matches the Rfam family "Bacterial small subunit ribosomal RNA", at positions 281 to 1352 of the family's 1533-position model. The record is from RNAcentral. Lineage: Bacteria; Bacillati; Actinomycetota; Actinomycetes; Micrococcales; Cellulomonadaceae.
GGGUAGCCGGCCUGAGAGGGCGACCGGCCACACUGGGACUGAGACACGGCCCAGACUCCUACGGGAGGCAGCAGUGGGGAAUAUUGCACAAUGGGCGCAAGCCUGAUGCAGCGACGCCGCGUGAGGGAUGAAGGCCUUCGGGUUGUAAGCCUCUUUCAGCAGGGAAGAAGCCUUCGGGUGACGGUACCUGCAGAAGAAGCGCCGGCUAACUACGUGCCAGCAGCCGCGGUAAUACGUAGGGCGCAAGCGUUGUCCGGAAUUAUUGGGCGUAAAGAGCUCGUAGGCGGUUUGUCGCGUCUGCUGUGAAAUCCUCAGGCUCAACCUGGGGCUUGCAGUGGGUACGGGCAGACUAGAGUGCGGUAGGGGUGACUGGAAUUCCUGGUGUAGCGGUGGAAUGCGCAGAUAUCAGGAGGAACACCGAUGGCGAAGGCAGGUCACUGGGCCGCAACUGACGCUGAGGAGCGAAAGCAUGGGGAGCGAACAGGAUUAGAUACCCUGGUAGUCCAUGCCGUAAACGUUGGGCACUAGGUGUGGGGCUCAUUCCACGAGUUCCGUGCCGCAGCAAACGCAUUAAGUGCCCCGCCUGGGGAGUACGGCCGCAAGGCUAAAACUCAAAGAAAUUGACGGGGGCCCGCACAAGCGGCGGAGCAUGCGGAUUAAUUCGAUGCAACGCGAAGAACCUUACCAAGGCUUGACAUACACCGGUAAAGUGCAGAGAUGUGCUCCCCGUAAGGUCGGUGUACAGGUGGUGCAUGGUUGUCGUCAGCUCGUGUCGUGAGAUGUUGGGUUAAGUCCCGCAACGAGCGCAACCCUCGUCCCAUGUUGCCAGCGGGUCAUGCCGGGGACUCAUGGGAGACUGCCGGGGUCAACUCGGAGGAAGGUGGGGAUGACGUCAAAUCAUCAUGCCCCUUAUGUCUUGGGCUUCACGCAUGCUACAAUGGCCGGUACAAAGGGCUGCGAUGCCGCGAGGUGGAGCGAAUCCCAAAAAGCCGGUCUCAGUUCGGAUUGGGGUCUGCAACUCGACCCCAUGAAGUCGGAGUCGCUAGUAAUCGCAGAUCAG